This 253-nucleotide ribosomal RNA is filed under the name uncultured bacterium. Its description in RNAcentral is "partial 16S ribosomal RNA". It matches the Rfam family "Bacterial small subunit ribosomal RNA", at positions 524 to 776 of the family's 1533-position model. The record is from RNAcentral.
UACGAAGGGGGCUAGCGUUGCUCGGAAUCACUGGGCGUAAAGCGCACGUAGGCGGAUUGUUAAGUCAGGGGUGAAAUCCUGGAGCUCAACUCCAGAACUGCCUUUGAUACUGGCGAUCUCGAGUCCGGGAGAGGUGAGUGGAACUGCGAGUGUAGAGGUGAAAUUCGUAGAUAUUCGCAAGAACACCAGUGGCGAAGGCGGCUCUCUGGGACGGUACUGACGCUGAGACGCGAAAGCGUGGGGAGCGAACAGG